CUGCCCGAUAGAGGGGGAUACCAGUUGGAAACGACUGUUAAUACCGCAUAAUGUCUACGGACCAAAGUGUGGGACCUUCGGGCCACAUGCUAUCGGAUGCGCCUACGUGGGAUUAGCUAGUUGGUGAGGUAAUGGCUCACCAAGGCGACGAUCUCUAGCUGGUUUGAGAGGAUGAUCAGCCACACUGGAACUGAGACACGGUCCAGACUCCUACGGGAGGCAGCAGUGGGGAAUAUUGGACAAUGGGCGCAAGCCUGAUCCAGCCAUGCCGCGUGUGUGAAGAAGGCCUUCGGGUUGUAAAGCACUUUCAGCGAGGAGGAAGGGGUGUGUGUUAAUAGUACACACCUUUGACGUUACUCGCAGAAGAAGCACCGGCUAACUCUGUGCCAGCAGCCGCGGUAAUACAGAGGGUGCAAGCGUUAAUCGGAAUUACUGGGCGUAAAGCGCACGUAGGCGGUUUUUUAACGUCAGAUGUGAAAGCCCCGGGCUCAACCUGGGAAUUGCAUUUGAAACUGGGGAACUAGAGUGUGUGAGAGGGGGGUAGAAUUCCAAGUGUAGCGGUGAAA
This 566-nucleotide ribosomal RNA is filed under the name Rheinheimera sp. KIN89. RNAcentral describes it as "bacterial SSU rRNA". It matches the Rfam family "Bacterial small subunit ribosomal RNA", at positions 126 to 686 of the family's 1533-position model. The record is from RNAcentral. Lineage: Bacteria; Pseudomonadati; Pseudomonadota; Gammaproteobacteria; Chromatiales; Chromatiaceae.